RNAcentral lists this ribosomal RNA (253 nucleotides) under uncultured bacterium. RNAcentral's name for it is "partial 16S ribosomal RNA". It matches the Rfam family "Bacterial small subunit ribosomal RNA", at positions 524 to 776 of the family's 1533-position model. The record is from RNAcentral.
UACGAAGGGGGCUAGCGUUGCUCGGAUUGACUGGGCGUAAAGGGCGCGUAGGCGGUUCGUACAGUCAGACGUGAAAUUCCUGGGCUCAACCUGGGGGCUGCGUUUGAUACGUGCGGACUUGAGUGCGGAAGAGGGUCGUGGAAUUCCCAGUGUAGUGGUGAAAUGCGUAGAUAUCGGGAGGAACACCAGUGGCGAAGGCGGCUUCCUGGCCUGUUCUUGACGCUGAGGCGCGAAAGCUAGGGGAGCAAACGGG